CUACUUGAAUAGCAGGCGGCACCAUGGCCUAGGCUGGUGACAUCUAUUGCACUUUGGAAGGGUACUAGCUUUAAGGCUGGCCCAAGUGAUCGAGCCUUUGUGACAGUGGGGGCCUGCAUUCGUGCAACCUCUUC
This 134-nucleotide small nuclear RNA is filed under the name Solanum pimpinellifolium. Its description in RNAcentral is "U1 spliceosomal RNA". It matches the Rfam family "U1 spliceosomal RNA". Rfam says of the family: U1 is a small nuclear RNA (snRNA) component of the spliceosome (involved in pre-mRNA splicing). Its 5' end forms complementary base pairs with the 5' splice junction, thus defining the 5' donor site of an intron. The record is from RNAcentral. Lineage: Eukaryota; Viridiplantae; Streptophyta; Magnoliopsida; Solanales; Solanaceae.